RNAcentral lists this ribosomal RNA (508 nucleotides) under uncultured bacterium. RNAcentral's name for it is "bacterial SSU rRNA". It matches the Rfam family "Bacterial small subunit ribosomal RNA", at positions 791 to 1304 of the family's 1533-position model. The record is from RNAcentral.
UAGUCCACGCCCUAAACGAUGCUAACUCGAUAUUUGGAUCUUGAAUCUGAGUGUCUAAGCGAAAGCGAUAAGUUAGCCACCCGGGGAGUACGUUCGCAAGAAUGAAACUCAAAGGAAUUGACGGGGGCCCGCACAAGCGGUGGAGCAUGUGGUUUAAUUCGAUGAUACGCGAGGAACCUUACCAGGGCUUAAAUGCAUAUUGACAGGGCCAGAGAUGGCUUUUCCUUCGGGCAAUUUGCAAGGUGCUGCAUGGUUGUCGUCAGCUCGUGCCGUGAGGUGUCAGGUUAAGUCCUAUAACGAGCGCAACCCCUGCCGUUAGUUGCCAGCAUGUAAAGAUGGGGACUCUAACGGGACUGCCGGUGCAAACCGUGAGGAAGGUGGGGAUGACGUCAAAUCAUCACGGCCCUUACGUCCUGGGCCACACACGUGCUACAAUGGCCGGUACAGAGAGCAGCCAUGUCGUAAGGCAGCGCGAAUCUACAAAACCGGUCACAGUUCGGAUCGGGGU